Molecule: unclassified non-coding RNA, 275 nt
Filed under: Hevea brasiliensis (rubber tree)
Lineage: Eukaryota; Viridiplantae; Streptophyta; Magnoliopsida; Malpighiales; Euphorbiaceae
Source: RNAcentral
GACGAGGAGGAGCUUCUUGAAGUUUCCGGUGAGGUGAGCCUUAUGCUUGUCUUCAAUAAACUUGGAGAUGGCAUACUGGCUCGAUCCACCACGCUCCUUCAGUGUGGAAAUCGCCUCGCUGAUCAUCUCGAUGUAGGGAGGAUGGGCUGCAGGCUUCUUUGGAGCGGAGGCCUUCUUUGGCGCCUUAGGCUUGGCAACCUUGGCAGGGAUUGGGGCUGGGGCUAGCUCGGCAGCUGACAUUUCUGCAGAGGAUUGAAAUUAAGAGGAUAUGAGAG